CAUGUGGUUUAAUUCGAUGCAACGCGAAGAACCUUACCUGGUCUUGACAUCCACAGAACUUUCCAGAGAUGGAUUGGUGCCUUCGGGAACUGUGAGACAGGUGCUGCAUGGCUGUCGUCAGCUCGUGUUGUGAAAUGUUGGGUUAAGUCCCGCAACGAGCGCAACCCUUAUCCUUUGUUGCCAGCGAUUAGGUCGGGAACUCAAAGGAGACUGCCAGUGAUAAACUGGAGGAAGGUGGGGAUGACGUCAAGUCAUCAUGGCCCUUACGACCAGGGCUACACACGUG
Molecule: ribosomal RNA, 286 nt
Filed under: Salmonella enterica subsp. enterica serovar Schwarzengrund
Lineage: Bacteria; Pseudomonadati; Pseudomonadota; Gammaproteobacteria; Enterobacterales; Enterobacteriaceae
Description: partial 16S ribosomal RNA
Rfam family: Bacterial small subunit ribosomal RNA
Source: RNAcentral